AGUAGUAGUAUGUGAUUGCAGAAUUCAGUGAAUCAUCGAAUCUUUGAACGCACAUUGCGCCCCUCGGUAUUCUGGGGGGCAUGCCUGUUCGAGCGUCAUUUCUCCCCUCAAGUCCCCUGUGGACUUGGAGUUGGGGAUCGGCGAGGCUGGUUUUCCAGCACAGCCGUCCCUUAAAUUAAUUGGCGGUCUCGCCGUGGACCUCCUCUGCGCAGUAGUAAAGCGCUCGCAACAGGAGCCGGCGCGGUCCACUGCCGUAAAACCCCCACUUUUAUAUUGCUCAAUCAGUAGACUCCCCUGAACUUAAGCAUAUCAAUAAGCGGAGGA
This 324-nucleotide ribosomal RNA is filed under the name Metarhizium anisopliae. RNAcentral's name for it is "eukaryotic LSU rRNA". The stretch from base 1 to 98 matches the Rfam family "5.8S ribosomal RNA", at positions 58 to 154 of the family's 154-position model. Lineage: Eukaryota; Fungi; Ascomycota; Sordariomycetes; Hypocreales; Clavicipitaceae. The record is from RNAcentral.